GAACAGUUCACAUGCGUCCGUUGAGCUGAACGCACGUGCUCGCGUCUGCAGCGCUUCUGGUGUGAUUUAGUUUUGGCAAAAAACACGAACAAAAAAUUGAAUCGAAUCUUAAAAUACCAAAGCAAACGCGCGCUCGUGUAACGGCAUUGGAGUUAAUGGGCCCCUAAUAAACGAGGGAUUUGAACUGAAUUUCGUCUGUGUAGACCGUUUGACCGCAAUUAGUUUCCAAUUUGAAUUUCACUCGAAUUAAAUUGUAUUCUUACGCCAUUAAGACAUCAUCGAUUGUGUUAGUGUGUUUGCGUGUGUGUGCGCUGUGCUUGCUUCCUGGCUUGGUGCAACGGCUGUGUCGUGGUGGAAAUCAGUGCGGCGUGGCGGCAAACGAGUAUCUGAAACGAAGCGACUACACACAGCUGCAAAAAUAACAACAAAUAACAGCAAAUUGUUGGAAUUUUACGAACUCAGUAGACACUCAAUACCCAGCUAGCAGCUGACAUAAGUGUUCAUGUUUCUUUGGCUUACCUAUGUGAGCGUGUCCGUGAAUGUGUGUCGGUUGCGCGGAAAUUGUAUCCGAUUUGACAGUAAGCAGCUGCUGUGCGCCGCGCCAACAAAUGAGCUAGACAACCAGACCCAAUCACACAACGCACAACUACAACAACCGAAGCAACAUGUGGAGAAGUAGAUGUGGAAAUAUUUAUGGAAAUUCAUUGCUUGCGAGAAAAACGGAUGAAAAAAGCUGAAAAAUUAAUAGAAUAACAAUGCUUCAAAUUCAAAUUAUGCCACUAACUUUGGAAGCAACAUGUUUCAGUUUGUAAUGCGGGACUCAAAAAAAGUCACUCUUCAGAGUCUUCGCUGUCAAAAGUUCUGGAAGGGAUUAUAGCCAGCAAUGCUGAUCUACAGAUGCUCUAUGCGUAAUUUGUAUUAAUGAAGGCAAUGUGCCACAGCAGGCCGAGUGUUAAUUCAGUUUUAAUAUCUCACCAAGUGCCAGCAGAACUGUUGAGAACGAGCUUUCUCGCAAACAACAAGAUAUUGUUACUCACGAUAUUCAUGACAACAUUAGGGUUCCUCGUCUGCAUCGGUUGGAAGCGGCAAUUCUUCGUGGUAAUCUAAUCCAAUCAGCAAAGAGUCAUGAUUCAUAAUCUUCUACAACUUCGUGAACUGUAAUAGUUUAGUUUAUAAAAAUAAAUACAAACUUUUCAACUUUC
Non-coding RNA from Bactrocera oleae (olive fruit fly), 1202 nucleotides. Lineage: Eukaryota; Metazoa; Arthropoda; Insecta; Diptera; Tephritidae. The record is from RefSeq and is a predicted model, not a curated record.